RNAcentral lists this long non-coding RNA (352 nucleotides) under Ananas comosus (pineapple). RNAcentral describes it as "long non-coding RNA (ACOM_LNC025346)". The record is from RNAcentral. Lineage: Eukaryota; Viridiplantae; Streptophyta; Magnoliopsida; Poales; Bromeliaceae.
AGCGGUCUCAAUAACCCUAGCUUGCUACCGUUUGGUUCGGGGUUAAGGAAAAACUAAUUAUUUUAGGGAUAUGGUUAAGUUUAGGGUUAAGGUGGGGUUAAAGUAUUUUUGUGUUUGGUUGGAGGUUAGAUUUAAACCAGGAUAGUGAAAAAUAGUGUUUGGUUGGAGUAGGUGGGAUAAGAAGGAUAAUGGGUUAUUAUGAAUAGAAAAUAGUGUUUGGUUGGAAUUUGAUGGGGUUAGGUGGGAUUAGCUAAUCUGGGAUAAUCCAUUUGAGUUGGGGUUAGCUGGGAUUAGCUAACCCCACCAUUUUUAGAAGUGUUUGGGAUAAAAUGGGGGUUAAGCCCUUGACCCC